GGGAAAAUAGCAUAUAUGCAGUUAACUUGAAAUUAAUUGAUGGCAGCUUUAAGUCUGUCUUUUCUCG
Molecule: transfer RNA, 67 nt
Filed under: Pseudagkistrodon rudis (Red keelback)
Lineage: Eukaryota; Metazoa; Chordata; Lepidosauria; Squamata; Natricidae
Description: tRNA-Ser
Source: RNAcentral